AAAGAGAGAGAGAUAGUGAGGGCAAAACAAGACCCUAAAAGCUGAUGUGUGAAGGUUUUCACGUGUGUUCAUGUGUGACAGAGUACCAGAGAGAUACAAAGCAGGGGAAGGAAGAAGGGAGAAAUAAAAGAGAGUGCAGGGGAA
Molecule: long non-coding RNA, 144 nt
Organism: Thalassophryne amazonica
Lineage: Eukaryota; Metazoa; Chordata; Actinopteri; Batrachoidiformes; Batrachoididae
Exons: 3
Source: RefSeq, a predicted model, not a curated record